GUCUCUUGUGUUAAGGUGCAUCUAGUGCAGUUAGUGAAGCAGCUUAUAAUCUACUGCCCUAAAUGCUCCUUCUGGCACAGGCU
Molecule: non-coding RNA, 83 nt
Organism: Capra hircus (goat)
Lineage: Eukaryota; Metazoa; Chordata; Mammalia; Artiodactyla; Bovidae
Source: Rfam